This 303-nucleotide ribosomal RNA is filed under the name uncultured bacterium. RNAcentral's name for it is "bacterial SSU rRNA". It matches the Rfam family "Bacterial small subunit ribosomal RNA", at positions 355 to 672 of the family's 1533-position model. The record is from RNAcentral.
UGGGGAAUAUUGCACAAUGGGGGGAACCCUGAUGCAGCAAUGCCGCGUGAAGGAUGAAGGUUUUCGGAUUGUAAACUUCUUUUGUACGGGACGAAGAAAGUGACGGUACCGUAAGAAUAAGCCACGGCUAACUACGUGCCAGCAGCCGCGGUAAUACGUAGGUGGCAAGCGUUAUCCGGAUUUACUGGGUGUAAAGGGCGAGUAGGCGGGAUUGCAAGUCAGAUGUGAAAACUAUGGGCUCAACCGAUAGAGUGCAUUUGAAACUGCAGUUCUUGAGUGAUGGAGAGGCAGGCGGAAUUCCCG